This 323-nucleotide ribosomal RNA is filed under the name uncultured bacterium. RNAcentral describes it as "bacterial SSU rRNA". It matches the Rfam family "Bacterial small subunit ribosomal RNA", at positions 568 to 898 of the family's 1533-position model. The record is from RNAcentral.
UGCGCAGGCGUCCCGAUAUGUUGUACUUUAAAUACUAAAGCUUAACUUUAGAAUUGGGUACAAAACUAUCGGGAUCGAGGUUUGACAGGGGUGCUAGAACAGUUAGUGUAGCAGUGAAAUGCGUUGAUAUUAACUGGAAUACCAAAAGCGAAGGCAGGCACCUAGGUUUUACCUGACGCUCAUGCACGAAAGCCAGGGGAGCGAAACAGAUUAGAUACCUGUGUAGUCCUGGCCGUAAACGAUGUCCGCUAGCUCUCACUCACGUGGGGGUGUAAGCUAACGCGUUAAGCGGACCGCCUGGGGAGUACGGCCGCAAGGCUAAA